This 302-nucleotide ribosomal RNA is filed under the name uncultured bacterium. RNAcentral's name for it is "partial 16S ribosomal RNA". It matches the Rfam family "Bacterial small subunit ribosomal RNA", at positions 508 to 807 of the family's 1533-position model. The record is from RNAcentral.
GCAGUAGCCACGGGAAUACGAAGGGUGCAAGCGUUACUCGGAAUUACUGGGCGUAAAGCGUGUGUAGGUGGUUGUUUAAGUCUGUCGUGAAAUCCCCGGGCUCAACCUGGGAAUGGCAGUGGAUACUGGCUCGCUAGAGUGUGUCAGAGGAUGGUGGAAUUCCCGGUGUAGCGGUGAAAUGCGUAGAGAUCGGGAGGAACAUCAGUGGCGAAGGCGGCCAUCUGGGACAACACUGACGCUGAGGCACGAAAGCGUGGGGAGCAAACAGGAUUAGAUACCCGCGUAGUCCCUGUCUCUUAUAC